Salvia splendens (bonfire salvia) is the source of this 576-nucleotide long non-coding RNA. RefSeq lists it as uncharacterized. The record is from RefSeq and is a predicted model, not a curated record. Lineage: Eukaryota; Viridiplantae; Streptophyta; Magnoliopsida; Lamiales; Lamiaceae. The transcript is spliced from 3 exons.
UUCGAAAUUCAUCCCCUAAUUCCACGUUGAAACCGUUCCCCUCUAUCCCACAAAUCUCUCCCAUAUCCCCAACCCCCUCUCCACUACAUUAAAUCCUAUAUCAGUUAUUCUUUUUCUUCACCUAUCGUAUCUGCAAGCAAGAAAGCAAGAACCAUUCUUCAACUUCUAUUCAAGAAACCACAUCCGGAGGAACCUCUUUGUUCACCCAACACUAUUAUCAUCCCAAUUCAACUUCAGGCAGAAGGUUGAGCGGCGACGAGGACGUGGUGGUGUUGGGCAAGUGAAUUUAAGAUUUUAAUGUUGUCCUUGAACCUUGAGUGUCGUUAUGUCUUCACACAUGACGUCACUCUUUCUCUUGGUCGUUUCCGCUGUGACUUUUCGUUUAUUCAUGUUUUAUUUGGGUCGACAACUUUAAUUGUUAGGAUAAUGGAUUUUCCGAAUUUCUUGUUGGAUAAUAUUAAACUCUUGGUUAUUUAAUUGGAUAUUAAUAGUUGGUCCAACUUGUGUUGAAAUCCUAAUCUUUUCCGUCUGUUUAUAAAAUUCUUUUAAUCACAAUCGCCCGUAUUUAUUAACCCU